This 206-nucleotide ribosomal RNA is filed under the name uncultured eukaryote. RNAcentral's name for it is "partial 18S ribosomal RNA". It matches the Rfam family "Eukaryotic small subunit ribosomal RNA", at positions 1299 to 1458 of the family's 1831-position model. The record is from RNAcentral.
UGGUGGAGUGAUUUGUCUGGUUAAUUCCGUUAACGAACGAGACCUUAACCUGCUAAAUAGUAACCGGUAGACUUCUGCCAAAACACGUCGGCGUUUAGGGUGAAGUUUCGAUGGAUCUCGACGCGUCGGCGUGUGGAUGACUACCGGGAUUCACUUCUUAGAGGGACUAUCUGUAUUAAAGCAGAUGGAAGUUUGAGGCAAUAACA